Molecule: unclassified non-coding RNA, 277 nt
Filed under: sea anemone metagenome
Description: partial contains small subunit ribosomal RNA and internal transcribed spacer 1
Rfam family: Eukaryotic small subunit ribosomal RNA (bases 1-155)
Source: RNAcentral
GCAUCUACCGAUUGAAUGGAGAGGUAAAAUCUCCGGACUAUGACGCGUUGGGGUCAAACCUUAUGCAGUCGUGGGAAGUGGAUUAAACCUUUCCAUUUAGAGGAAGAUGAAGUCGUAACAAGGUUUCCGUAGGUGAACCUGCAGAAGGAUCAAGAUUGGAAGAGCACACGUCAGGACUCCAGUUACGUGGCCUUACCUCCUAUGCCGUCCUCCUCCUGAAAAAAAAAACGUACUACCACAGCUGAUGUCACCUAUUUAGCCUUGGCUUACUACUUUU